CUUUGCAGGGCACUUCCAAACAUUGGAAGCAAAACAUACAAAAUGUGCAGAGCAGGGGGUUUGAGGACCAGGAUGAUUAACUUCUGUUCUAAACUGAAUGUGGCUUCAUAAAAGCAAUUCCUCUUGAUGAUUUUUUUUUUAUUUUAUUUUUUUUAUGAAGAACACAGUAGUUCAUCAUCUGAGUCCAAUUUUGUUUCCAUCUGGUAUUGUUUCAGCUCCUUUACUCACGGUCACUUCCCCAACAUCUACCAGUCCCACUAUUACAGGUGAAUGUGUUGCCGAACUGUAAUGUGGCCUUCAAAAGAAUCUUCUCCUAAUUACUGUCUUCAUGAAGAACACAUUUAUCGAGCAUCUGAUUUAAUAUCUGUUUCUACAUUGUUGCUUCAGAUCAUUUACAACCAUUCAUGUCCACAACAUACACUAGUUCUACUUCAACAGUCUCUUUACAGCCAGUCACUUCCACAACAUUUACUGGUUCUACUUCUACAGGUCAGGAUAAUUAUACUGUAGAUGGAAUGUGUUUCUUGAUGAUUUUCUUUAUGAAGAACAUUGUUCAUCAUCUGAGUGUGAUUUUAUAUCUUUUUCUAUCUGGUAUUGUUUCAGCUCCUUUACACACGGUCACUUCCACAACAUCUACCAGUCCCACUAUUACAGGUGAAUGUGUAGCUGAACUGGAAUGUGGCUUUCAAGAUAAGCUCCUACUAAUACCCGUCUUCAAGAUAAACACAAUGUUUAAGCAGACUUAAAUGCUGAAUUUCUGCUUCCACAUGUUUUGUUUCAGUUAAUUUACAACCAGUCACUUGCACAACAUCUACUACUUCUACUUCUACAGGUGAUAAUAAUUUUAGACUAAAUGUGACCUUUUAAAAUAAAUCCUUCAAUGAUAUCCUUGUUGCUGAACACUCUUUUUUUUCAUCUGAUAUAUAUUUUUUUAAAUAGGUCCUAUUAUGCUCUUUUACAAAGUCUUGAUUUUGUUUUGGGGGGCAUUAGAACAUGCUAUACUGCUUAGUGGUUCAAAAAAAAAAAAACACAUUAUUUUUCACAUAAUUGACAUUAUUACAAUUCCUUUCUCCCCAGCCUGGCUCAAACAGCUUGAUUAGAUCUUGUCCACCUUCCAAAAAACUAAAUGUGUUUGUGACUGGUUAGUUGUCCCAGUAAGCUGUGAUUGGCGAACAGUUUAGAUGGUGUUUCAGUAUUGCCCCACCCCUUGC
RNAcentral lists this long non-coding RNA (1211 nucleotides) under Carassius auratus (goldfish). RNAcentral's name for it is "lncRNA (ENSCARG00000059040.1)". The record is from RNAcentral. Lineage: Eukaryota; Metazoa; Chordata; Actinopteri; Cypriniformes; Cyprinidae.